Molecule: long non-coding RNA, 260 nt
Filed under: Nicotiana benthamiana
Lineage: Eukaryota; Viridiplantae; Streptophyta; Magnoliopsida; Solanales; Solanaceae
Description: long non-coding RNA (NBEN_LNC016892)
Source: RNAcentral
UUACCAGCUUGGUGAAAGGGGUUCAAUUGUCUUUUGAUGCAAAAAAGCUGGGUGAAAUCCUUGGUAUACCUUCUAAAGGUUAUGAUGACUACACAAGGCAAAAGUGUCCAAGUGUGUACUACCUUCCUACAUCCCUAGCCAUUACUGAGAAAUGUUGUGAUAGAAAAGAACUAAAUGAGGCUAAGGUUGUGUAUAAGAGUGAAAUGAAGCCAUCCCACAAGGCGUUGUUGGAAUUUGUCAACUAGUGUGUGAUGCCUAGG